AUGAAUUCUCAUGACUAUCACGUGCUGAUGACGCAGAUACUUACAGUUGCAAUCCGUGGGAUCAUGGACGCGCACGUCCGUGAAACGCUAUUUGGCCUAUGCAACUUUUUCGACGCCAUCUCUCGGAAGUCGGUUGGCGUGAGGCAACUCAGAAGGCUACAGGAAGAGAUCGUGGUGAUACUAUGCAAGCUUGAGAUGUACUUCCCGCACGCAUUCUUCGACGUUAUGGUGCAUCUGCUGGUCCAUAUCGUGGAGGAUAUCAUCCAACUCGGGCCAACGUUCCUGCACAGCAUGAUGUCAUUCGAAAGGAUGAAUGGUGUCAUCAAAGGAUACGUUCGCAACAUGGCACGUCCAGAGGGAAGCAUAGCCAGGGGCUUUCUGACCGAAGAGUGUAUCUCCUACUGCACGAAUUAUCUAGGCAUCGAGAACCCCGUUGGUCUGCCCGUCAACGGGCACCUUGGCAGGCUCGCUGGAUGGGGUCACCGUGAGGGUCGCCGUGAAAUGCAUGUCGACUUCGAGGGUCGACUCGCCGACUUUGAAAGAGCAAACCUAGUCGCGCUACAACACAUAGACGUGGUCGAUCCUUGGGUGGUAGAGCACAAAACCUUUAUUGAGAAGUCGUACAAUGACCGAGGCCAACAAAGGACAGACGGAGAUAUAAUCAAAGAGCACAACUCAUGUUUCACGCGUUGGUUCAAGCAGAAGCUUCUGUCGUACCCUUUACAUGAGGAUUCUUCCGUGGAAGAACAACUCAUAUUCGCCUUGUCAUAG
RNAcentral lists this ribosomal RNA (771 nucleotides) under Triticum aestivum (bread wheat). RNAcentral's name for it is "partial small subunit ribosomal RNA". The record is from RNAcentral. Lineage: Eukaryota; Viridiplantae; Streptophyta; Magnoliopsida; Poales; Poaceae.